RNAcentral lists this ribosomal RNA (377 nucleotides) under uncultured bacterium. RNAcentral's name for it is "bacterial SSU rRNA". It matches the Rfam family "Bacterial small subunit ribosomal RNA", at positions 521 to 896 of the family's 1533-position model. The record is from RNAcentral.
UAAUACAGAGGUCCCAAGCGUUGUUCGGAUUCACUGGGCGUAAAGGGUGCGUAGGCGGUUGGGUAAGUCUGUCGUGAAAUCUCCGAGCCUAACUCGGAAACUGCGUCGGAUACUAUUCAACUCGAGGAAUGGAGGGGAGACUGGAAUUCUCGGUGUAGCAGUGAAAUGCGUAGAUAUCGAGAGGAACACCAGUGGCGAAGGCGAGUCUCUGGACAUUUCCUGACGCUGAGGCACGAAAGCCAGGGGAGCAAACGGGAUUAGAUACCCCGGUAGUCCUGGCCCUAAACGGUGCAUGUUUGCUGUAAGAGGAAUCGACCCCUUUUGUGGCGAAGCUAACGCGUUAAACAUGCCGCCUGGGAAGUACGGCCGCAAGGUUA